Molecule: ribosomal RNA, 108 nt
Filed under: Pirellulaceae bacterium
Lineage: Bacteria; Pseudomonadati; Planctomycetota; Planctomycetia; Pirellulales; Pirellulaceae
Source: RNAcentral
UCCGGUGACCAUACUGAAAGGGCCACACCCGUUACCUUUCCGAACACGGUAGUUAAGCCUUUCAGGCCGAUGAUAGUGCCAAAAGUGCGAAAGUAGGUAUCGCCGGAU